GAUGAACGCUGGCGGUAUGCUUAACACAUGCAAGUCGAACGGUCUCUUCGGAGAUAGUGGCGGACGGGUGAGUAACGCGUGAGAAUCUAGCUCUAGGUCUGGGACAACCACUGGAAACGGUGGCUAAUACCGGGUGUGCCGAAAGGUGAAAGGUUAACUGCCUGGAGAUGAGCUCGCGUCUGAUUAGCUAGUUGGUAGGGUAAAAGCUUACCAAGGCGACGAUCAGUAGCUGGUCUGAGAGGACGAUCAGCCACACUGGGACUGAGACAC
Molecule: ribosomal RNA, 270 nt
Filed under: Rhizonema sp. 'cyanobiont of Dictyonema sp.'
Lineage: Bacteria; Bacillati; Cyanobacteriota; Cyanophyceae; Nostocales; Rhizonemataceae
Description: partial 16S ribosomal RNA
Rfam family: Bacterial small subunit ribosomal RNA
Source: RNAcentral